CCCUUAGAUGUUCUGGGCGGCCCGCGCACUACAUUGGCACUCUCAAUAAGUUCCUAGAUCUAAAACUUUGGGGUAUUCUAUUAAGUGGUGUCGUGACUGGGAUUAACCCUUGCAAUUAUUGGUUACGAACGAGGAAUUCCUUGUAAUCGCGGUUUAUCAGCCCGCGUUGAAUGCGUCCCUGCCCUUUGUACACACCGCCCGUCGCUCCUACCGAUGAAUCGUCCGGUGAAGUUCAUGGAGUGGUGGUUGUUCCAGCUGCUGUCGAAGUGAAAUGGACCUCACGAUUUAGAGGAAGGAGGAGUCGUAACA
RNAcentral lists this ribosomal RNA (309 nucleotides) under uncultured eukaryote. RNAcentral's name for it is "partial 18S ribosomal RNA". It matches the Rfam family "Eukaryotic small subunit ribosomal RNA", at positions 1470 to 1796 of the family's 1831-position model. The record is from RNAcentral.